CGCCUCCUGAACCCAACCAUAUAGGAGGUCCCGCCUGCCCUGUGACCAAAAGUUUAACGGCCGCGGUAUUUUAACCGUGCAAAGGUAGCGCAAUCAAUUGUCUUUUAAAUGGAGACCUGUAUGAAUGGCAUAACGAGGGUUUAACUGUCUCUUUUUUCCAGUCAAUGAAACUGAUCUGCCCGUGCAGAAGCGGACAUACUUACACAAGACGAGAAGACCCUAUGGAGCUUUAGACGCCCACCAACUAUGAAAAGUAACCAUGUCAACGGAACUCCAAACAUCAUACCCCUGGUACAAACGUCUUCGGUUGGGGCGACCACGGGGGAAAACGAAGCCCCCGAGAGGAUAGGGGAACACCCUAAAACCAAGAACUACAAUUCUAAGUCACAAAAUGUUUGACCAAUUAAUGAUCCGGCUUACGCCGAUCAACGGACCAAGUUACCCUAGGGAUAACAGCGCAAUCCCCUCCCAGAGUCCAUAUCGACGAGAGGGUUUACGACCUCGAUGUUGGAUCAGGACAUCCUAAUGGUGCAGCCGCUAUUAAGGGUUCGUUUGUUCAACGAUUAAAGUCCU
Molecule: ribosomal RNA, 573 nt
Filed under: Limnothrissa miodon
Lineage: Eukaryota; Metazoa; Chordata; Actinopteri; Clupeiformes; Clupeidae
Description: partial 16S ribosomal RNA
Rfam family: Bacterial large subunit ribosomal RNA
Source: RNAcentral